GUGAGUGGAGGCUGGCAAGGUCUGGACCCUGGGGCAAGAGAGCCCUUAACUUCUCCCACCUCUCUCAGAUCAGACACCCUCCCCCUCUCUGAUGGGAUGCUGAAAUUACUUACAGUCUGGUUGCAAAGCCCCAGAACUUGAGUUUCUAGAAGGAAGAAGUCUUUCUUUGGCUACUAAAGCUUAAUGAGGACCAGAUGGAGAAAGACUUUCAGUAGUCUAUUGAAGUGGAUAUUGCCUGACAGUUGAGACAUGUCAGGAAACAUGCAGCACUGGCUUCUGAAAAGGGAUCACCAGCACUUGGCAUUUGUGAAACUAAGAAGAGUCCUUUAAACAAUGUAUCACUGAUAGACUGUCAGGGUCUCAAAAUUCAGUCCCAGGCCAGAUACCUGUUUUGCAUCCUAGAGUAGGAAUUUACUAAUUGUAAACUGAAAAAGUUUUGCCCUACUGAGUGUGGUGCAGUUUGUACAAGCACACUUUGUUUUGAAGUGGAUUAUCUAAUUCCCCUGUCUUUGCAUCUGCUCUUUUGAGAGUCCUCAUCUCAAAUUUCUGUCUCUAUAUCUGGAAUGUCUCAAAGACCAAAUAAAAACCCUGUGGUAGGGAUUAUCAGAUUGUUCCAACCAUUACCUGCCUCUUUCCAUUAUCCAGCUGCUCUUCUGUAGUCAGGCCCCAAAGUCCCUGGUGGCAUCAAUCCUUGCUGCCUACAACAGCAAAGAAUGGGGCGCAGACAUAUCAGAAAGAGAGCCACACUGAACCUUCUCAGGUAUAGAUUCACAAGUUUUUUCUUCAGCAUUGUACAUACAAAAUGGAUGCAAAUUUGUAGUUUGGGAAUAUUAAUUCAUAAUUAGUGUCCCUAGCAUUCAGGAAACAGGGCUUUUACAUCUAAAUCAGUCCAGUUUAUGGUAAAGGACAGGUGAUAUAGUAAUAGCAUAGUAUAGUAUAGUAUAGUAUAGUAUAGUAUAGUAUAGUAUAGAUGGCGAUCAUGUCUACAUGGAACACUUUAUGUGUCAUUGAAAAUCAUAGAAUUAAUUGAGUUAAAAAUUGCAUAUAUUUGAAAUAUUUGAAGAGGAACUUUAAUAAAGAUGAUAAGAAAUUUGGUAAGGCAGUUAUCAUAUUUUCAUAUAAGAAUGGCCUAAAUAUUCAUCAUAUUAAGCAUUAGCCUUCAAUAAUCUUGCAUUUCCAUUUACUAUAUAAGCUUUUUUGAUACAGUUCAUGUUUUUAUUCAUUAUUGCAAAGUCUACUUGUCAACAGAAAAGCACAAAUUAUCCACAUCAAAUGCAUGUCAAAAUGGUACUUUGAUUUAUGACAGAAGCAGUCCCUUGUAAAGCCAUGGUGGGUUGUGGCAUUUCUACUCUAUUGUGGCAGAUACUGUUGUGUACUUGGCCAACAGAGAAUCUCCCACCUCUUUGUUCCAUCUGAAUCUGUAGCCUCUGGUUUUACAAGGGGUACCCACCUUCUCAUCAGCAGCAACCUUAGGAAGUGACUGUUGCUUAUUCUAAGCAAUUUUAAAAAUAGACCUCUGUAGCAGUGCCUAAUACAGUAAUAGACAGUUCAAGCAAUAAUACAGUAAGAGACAGUUCAAGCAACACUUGCUUAUAACUGUAUUUAGAGCUGAGGAAAGGGGUUGCAAUGGUUUUCUUUUGUGAUCAAAAGAAAAACUAUCUUUAGGUGCUAAUUUGUGAGAUUUGAAAAGUACAGUUGCUAUUGAGCAAAGACAAGGGACAGACUAAAGAAUGACCUCCUUACCUGUUGAACAAAAGAAUAAAUAAUGUCUGUCCCUCCCUGUUUCUGACCAAUCACUCCAUUUUCUUGUUAUGUGAGAUAACAAAUGCAUGUUUAAGCCAAACUGGCUUGGCUUGAGUAUUGGCUACUUACAGCCUAAAGCACUGGAAUUCACAUGAUUCUGCAAAGAUGAUUUUCCUUUGCUAGUGUUCUGUUCCUCAUGCUGCAACUAUCCAUGUAUGUGGAAAGUAAGGAAUUAUCUUAAAAUGUGUGCUAACCUACCUCUGAAUUUCCAAGUGAGUACACUGUUGUAGAGGUGCCAGUUACUACAUACUACCAUAACCUCACAUCUAAUCUAUCAAGACAGCCUUACAUCUCUUCUCCUGGAGAUGUGUAAUGCUGCAUUUCUUGUGUUUAGUACUUUAAGAAAUAGAACUUGUAUAGAUGUAUU
Molecule: long non-coding RNA, 2170 nt
Filed under: Mus pahari (shrew mouse)
Lineage: Eukaryota; Metazoa; Chordata; Mammalia; Rodentia; Muridae
Description: lncRNA (MGP_PahariEiJ_G0003107.1)
Source: RNAcentral